AGGGAUGAAGGCCUUCGGGUUGUAAACCUCUUUUAGCAGGGAAGAAGCGAAAGUGACGGUACCUGCAGAAAAAGCACCGGCUAACUACGUGCCAGCAGCCGCGGUAAUACGUAGGGUGCAAGCGUUGUCCGGAAUUAUUGGGCGUAAAGAGCUCGUAGGCGGUUUGUCGCGUCUGCUGUGAAAAUCCAAGGCUCAACCUUGGACCUGCAGUGGGUACGGGCAGACUAGAGUGCGGUAGGGGAGAUGGGAAUUCCUGGUGUAGCGGUGGAAUGCGCAGAUAUCGGGAGGAACACCAAUAUGGCGAAGGCACUGUACUGGGCUUUACCUGACGCUCAGAGACGAAAGCUAAAGGAGUGAUUAGGAUUAGAUACCCUAGUAAUUUUAGCCGUAAACGAUGAAAACUCACUGCCGAGCGAAAUACAACGAGCGGUGGUCAAGCUAACGCGUGAAGUUUUCCGCCUGGGGAUUACGCUUGCAAAAGUG
RNAcentral lists this ribosomal RNA (483 nucleotides) under uncultured Actinomycetes bacterium. Its description in RNAcentral is "bacterial SSU rRNA". It matches the Rfam family "Bacterial small subunit ribosomal RNA", at positions 404 to 896 of the family's 1533-position model. The record is from RNAcentral. Lineage: Bacteria; Bacillati; Actinomycetota; Actinomycetes.